RNAcentral lists this ribosomal RNA (91 nucleotides) under uncultured Bacillota bacterium. Its description in RNAcentral is "uncultured Firmicutes bacterium partial 16S ribosomal RNA". Lineage: Bacteria; Bacillati; Bacillota. The record is from RNAcentral.
GAGAAGGGCUUCGGCUCUGAGUAAAGUGGCGCACGGGUGAGUAACACGUGAAUGAUCUACCUCCGAGUGGGGAAUAACCUAGAGAAAUCUG